Molecule: non-coding RNA, 45 nt
Organism: Schistosoma mattheei
Lineage: Eukaryota; Metazoa; Platyhelminthes; Trematoda; Strigeidida; Schistosomatidae
Source: Rfam
GCCAAGUUGAAGAGUCCCAAACAGGACGAAACCGGAGUCCUGGAU